AAAAAGACACCAGCAGCGUGUCCAUCGAGCAAAUAUGCAAUAGAAGCAACGCGCAGCCGGCGCGAUAAACCCUCAGGUUCCUGGUUGAGAAAAGUCGGGACACAUGGAGAGAAUGCUUCGCAUAUCGAAGAAGGUCAAUGAGGAGCUUCUGGUGCCGAAAGCGAUCGAGGUGGUCGCGAGUUCCGAGGAAACGUCACUGAGAGCGCACAAGUCGAUCCCGAUCCUCAAAGCUCAUCGUAUUGCUGGCAGCCUGAUACCGACGGACAUCGUACCCACGGGUUGGUUGAAACGUGGUACGUGCCCUCCUCGCACCUUGUGCUACAGCCUCAGCAUGAACAGGUUCCGCGAGAGAAAAGCGCCCUUGCUCUCCGAAUGCGAGCGCCCCAGCCUCCUCUAGCGACCACCUGGGACAGCCACCAUAUGCGUCGCCGAGAGUUCCUCUGCGUCGCGGUCGACAAUCUUGCAGUGUACUGCAUAGUCUGCGCAGAGAGCGACCGCUGGUCUCUGUGGACAACGCUGCUAAGAGCACGAACGAAGCAUGUUCAGGGUUGCCUGCUCACAGUGAGGAAACGGAAAGCAGGUUCCUGGUACCAUGGAGACCGACGGAAUACCAGUCUACGUGCAUAUUGCCAGUCUGAGCCCUGAAUCGAGCAGCGAGACUCGCGGCGAAGCGUUCAUCGUGGUUGGAGAGAGAGCCUUUGGCAUGCGCAUGGGUCUCACACCGAAGGCACUCGUGGCCGUCGCGGUGCUUCCACAUCGACGGGACGUAUCCAAAGACCUGCACAGAACGCAUAUCAAGCUGCGCAGCGAUUCCAGUGCUCGGUGCUAUGUGCGGCUGGGCAAUACGUGUGCCAGAGGGCCUACGAGCCAGCGUCACGAAGGCGCCAGCGCGCGUCUCGAUGCGCCCCGCACCGUAUCAAGGCGGGGGUCACGCUUUGUAGGCUUCAUUCGGAGAGCCAGUGCAGGCCCGAGUCCCACAUGCGGGAGACCGGUGGCGGGCGUACCUGGGACCGCGCUCGCGUCGUCCACGACGCUUUUGUACGGCGGCACGCAGCGUGUAUUCAGCUGCUCGUGCAGUGCGCUCGAAAUGGAAGCGACCGAUCAUGCGCGUCACUUCGGUGCUUCCUAUAGCGCUGGAUGUGCUGUUGUGUGCAGAGGCCGCACUCGUGCCCUGUGGACGAGAGCGCAGUGUGAGUGCAUGUCUCGGUUCUGUGCGGUAUCCAUCGACGCGUUUAGGAUGACGCACGCGCACCACGAGCACUGGUGCACGCUGGAACAGGGAGUAAAGACGAGCAUAGAAGUGAGCUGGGUGCCCGAAACGGGGCAAGCCGAGUUUACCAGACUAUGGCAGACGCCGCAGUGCGAGGCGAUCGGACUGUGACGGAUUGAUUCUUCUGCCGGGAGCGAUGCGUGCGAUCCUUUUUUGCUGCUCUGAGACAUCAACGCCUUUAUCAGCAUCCGGAGAUGUGCCGAGCUGCCGAAGCGUCCAGCAGGCUUGGGUCGCGCGAAACUAUGUGAAAAUCGUUCAGCAUACCGUGUGAGCGUUGUCCCCGAGCGCUGGCGAAUCAGACUUGGGAAGAAUCGGCUGUCAUGCGUGGCGUGAUUGAAUGAUUCUCAUCCAGAGGCGGGACAGGCGUGGUGCUGUUCAGCACUCCCGGACGGUUGAUGCGCCAUAUCUGUAGAAAACGCGUAUGAUUUUGCUGAGCGAUUCAUGAGUGAUACUGGUGUCGAAAUAGUCAAUAUGAGUAUGAUCUCAAAACGAAAACGUUCGUCGACAAGGAAGGGUAAACAUUUA
Molecule: RNA transcript, 1795 nt
Organism: Cyanidioschyzon merolae strain 10D
Lineage: Eukaryota; Rhodophyta; Bangiophyceae; Cyanidiales; Cyanidiaceae
Exons: 1
Source: RefSeq, a predicted model, not a curated record